RNAcentral lists this unclassified non-coding RNA (307 nucleotides) under plant metagenome. RNAcentral's name for it is "partial contains 5.8S ribosomal RNA, internal transcribed spacer 2, and large subunit ribosomal RNA". The stretch from base 1 to 105 matches the Rfam family "5.8S ribosomal RNA", at positions 50 to 154 of the family's 154-position model. The record is from RNAcentral.
GAAAUGCGAUAAGUAAUGUGAAUUGCAGAAUUCAGUGAAUCAUCGAAUCUUUGAACGCACAUUGCGCCCGCCAGCACUCUGGCGGGCAUGCCUGUUCGAGCGUCAUUUCAACCCUCAGAACCCCUUGCGGGAUCUGGCGUUGGGGAUUGGCAUCCAGCCAGCCCCGAAAUCUAGUGGCGGUCCCUCCGCGACCUCCCCUGUGCAGUAGCGAUACCUCGCAGCGGGACAGCGGUCUGACCUCGCCGUAAAACCCCCAACUUCUCAAGGUUGACCUCGAAUCAGGUAGGAAUACCCGCUGAACUUAAGC